AGCCUGCCCAGUGACCCAGUUCAACGGCCGCGGUAUCCUAACCGUGCAAAGGUAGCGUAAUCACUUGUCUUCUAAAUAAAGACUAGUAUGAACGGCACCACGAGAACUAAACUGUCUCCCCUUUCCAAUCAGUGAACCUAAUCCCCCCGUGAAGAAGCGGGGAUUUUUUAAUAAGACGAGAAGACCCUAUGGAGCUUUAAACACUAUAACACCUGCCAACCCCACACUCAAGUGUAUCCCCGCAGGAUGAUUAUUUGUUUUCGGUUGGGGUGACCGCGGAGAAAAAACUAUCCUCCACGAUGAAAGGAAACCCCCUAAACAAUAAGCCACAGCUUUAUGUAUUAGCAAACUAACACCAUUGACCCAAUAUAUUGAUUAACGAACCAAGUUACCCUAGGGAUAACAGCGCAAUCCACUUCGAGAGCCCCUAUCGACAAGUGGGCUUACGACCUCGAUGUUGGAUCAGGGUAUCCCAGUGGUGCAGCCGCUACUAAAGGU
This 498-nucleotide ribosomal RNA is filed under the name Pristimantis ardilae. RNAcentral's name for it is "partial large subunit ribosomal RNA". It matches the Rfam family "Bacterial large subunit ribosomal RNA", at positions 1856 to 2572 of the family's 2925-position model. Lineage: Eukaryota; Metazoa; Chordata; Amphibia; Anura; Strabomantidae. The record is from RNAcentral.